Molecule: ribosomal RNA, 335 nt
Filed under: uncultured bacterium
Lineage: Bacteria
Description: bacterial SSU rRNA
Rfam family: Bacterial small subunit ribosomal RNA
Source: RNAcentral
AGCGAACGCUGGCGGCAGGCUUAACACAUGCAAGUCGAGCGCUCGUAGCAAUACGGGAGCGGCAGACGGGUGAGUAACACGUGGGAACGUACCUUUUGGUUCGGAACAACACAGGGAAACUUGUGCUAAUACCGGAUAAGCCCUUACGGGGAAAGAUUUAUCGCCAAAAAGAUCGGCCCGCGUCUGAUUAGCUUGUUGGUGAGGUAACGGCUCACCAAGGCGACGAUCAGUAGCUGGUCGAGAGGAUGAUCAGCCACAUUGGGACUGAGACACGGCCCAAAACUCCUACGGGAGGCAGCAGUGGGGAAUAUUGGACAAUGGGCGCAAGCCUGACU